UUUAGGAUGACGCAGAUGCUAAAUGCCGCGGGAGUCAGAGAAAACCUGGGGUCCUGAUGAUGUUGUUGAGCUGCUGAAUCAACCAUCCCUAAACCCUAUGCUCCCAAGACUUCUUGUCAUCCGCAGCCUGUGGGAGACUGUCUACUCGGUCCACAGAAAGAAGGAUGGAAAAAAGCAAAUGAGUCUCUUCCAGAAUUUGUCCAACCAAAGAACAGAUGAACUUGGU
This 226-nucleotide long non-coding RNA is filed under the name Homo sapiens (human). RNAcentral's name for it is "long non-coding RNA NONHSAT076631.2". The record is from RNAcentral. Lineage: Eukaryota; Metazoa; Chordata; Mammalia; Primates; Hominidae.